Molecule: non-coding RNA, 288 nt
Filed under: Nicotiana attenuata
Lineage: Eukaryota; Viridiplantae; Streptophyta; Magnoliopsida; Solanales; Solanaceae
Source: Rfam by way of RNAcentral
AACAAGUUGAUGCUCUAAUUUAACUUCAAAAGUUCGGCAAUGUAUUGAUUCUAAAGUGGAAACUUUCGAGCUGGAUACGUAGAGGCAGAGGGAAUUUUUGAUGGAGCAUAUAGAUCAGAAAGAACAUCAACGACGAAAGCAUUAUGCUAGAUGACACUAACAAUGAGAAAUGAAAACUAGGGGAGAGAGUGGAUUGGAUACCGCAAUAGUUCUAGCUCGUAAACGAUGUAUAAUAGGCGUUGUACAUAUCAACCCAUGCAGUGAUGUAGCUAACACAUUAAGGGGUCG